GGGAAUUACCCAGCUACAGGUCACAAGAAACCCCAUGAGCCAUCCAUAGUCAAGAUGCCAGUACUGAAGGAAAUGCAGCAGGCAGGACAAGCGAUGGACCAAAAAGCUGUACUGAAGGUGGCAUUUCCCGGGCUAAGUGGCGGCUCAUUGGAAGGCCCUGCAGGAAGGAAGGCAAUGCCAGACACGGGCACAGGCACAGCAGAUGAGGUGUCUGGGAAGACUUCUCCAUUAGCUUGGCUGCAUAAAGUGUUGGUCCUAUCUGAGCCCCUCUCAGGUAUG
This is a long non-coding RNA of Passer domesticus (house sparrow), 279 nucleotides long. RefSeq lists it as uncharacterized. The record is from RefSeq and is a predicted model, not a curated record. The transcript is spliced from 3 exons. Lineage: Eukaryota; Metazoa; Chordata; Aves; Passeriformes; Passeridae.